UGGGGAAUAUUGCACAAUGGGCGGAAGCCUGAUGCAGCAACGCCGCGUGCGGGAUGACGGCCUUCGGGUUGUAAACCGCUUUCGCCUGUGACGAAGCGUGAGUGACGGUAAUGGGUAAAGAAGCACCGGCUAACUACGUGCCAGCAGCCGCGGUGAUACGUAGGGUGCGAGCGUUGUCCGGAUUUAUUGGGCGUAAAGGGCUCGUAGGUGGUUGAUCGCGUCGGAAGUGUAAUCUUGGGGCUUAACCCUGAGCGUGCUUUCGAUACGGGUUGACUUGAGGAAGGUAGGGGAGAAUGGAAUUCCUGGUGGAGCGGUGGAAUGCGCAGAUAUCAGGAGGAACGCCAGUGGCGAAGGCGGUUCUCUGGGCCUUUCCUGACGCUGAGGAGCGAAAAGCGUGGGGAGCGAAACAGGCUUAGAUACCCUGGUAGUCCACGCUGUAAAACGGUGGGUACUAGGUGUGGGGUCCAUUCCACGGGUUCCGCGCCGUAGCUAAACG
RNAcentral lists this ribosomal RNA (496 nucleotides) under uncultured bacterium. RNAcentral describes it as "partial 16S ribosomal RNA". It matches the Rfam family "Bacterial small subunit ribosomal RNA", at positions 355 to 857 of the family's 1533-position model. The record is from RNAcentral.